GGACUACUCGGGUAUCUAAUCCCGUUUGCUCCCCUAGCUUUCGCGCACUCAGCGUCAGAAAAGGUCCAGUCGCGCGCUUUCGCCACCGGCGUUCCUGCCAAUAUCAACGCAUUUCACCGCUCCACUGGCAGUUCCCGCGACCCCUACCUCCCUCGAGCUCGGCAGUAUCCAUGGCCAUUUUCCGGUUGAGCCGAAAGAUUUCACCACAGACUUGCCAAGCCGCCUACGCGCCCUUUAAGCCCAGUGAAUCCGAACAACGUUUGCACGGUUCGUCUUACCGCGGCUGCUGGCAC
This 293-nucleotide ribosomal RNA is filed under the name uncultured Planctomycetota bacterium. Its description in RNAcentral is "uncultured planctomycete partial 16S ribosomal RNA". The record is from RNAcentral. Lineage: Bacteria; Pseudomonadati; Planctomycetota.